AUGAUCGAGGUGGUGCUCAACGACCGCCUGGGGAAGAAGGUGCGCGUCAAGUGCAACGAGGACGACACCAUCGGCGACCUCAAGAAGCUCGUGGCGGCGCAGACCGGGACCAGGGCCGAGAAGAUCCGCAUCCAGAAGUGGUACACCAUCUACAAGGACCACAUCACCCUCGGCGACUACGAGAUCCACGACGGCAUGGGCCUCGAGCUCUACUACAACUAG
Molecule: ribosomal RNA, 222 nt
Filed under: Triticum aestivum (bread wheat)
Lineage: Eukaryota; Viridiplantae; Streptophyta; Magnoliopsida; Poales; Poaceae
Description: partial small subunit ribosomal RNA
Source: RNAcentral